UAAUACAUAGGGUGCAAGCGUUAAUCGGAAUUACUGGGCGUAAAGGGUGCGCAGGCGGCUUGGAAAGAACGGUGUGAAAUCCCGGGGCUCAACCCCGGAACUGCACUAUUAACUAUCAAGCUAGAGUAUGUCAGAGGGGGGUGGAAUUCCGCGUGUAGCAGUGAAAUGCGUAGAUAUGCGGAGGAACACCAAUGGCGAAGGCAGCCCCCUGGGAUAAUACUGACGCUCAGGCACGAAAGCGUGGGUAGCAAACAGG
RNAcentral lists this ribosomal RNA (256 nucleotides) under uncultured archaeon. Its description in RNAcentral is "partial 16S ribosomal RNA". It matches the Rfam family "Bacterial small subunit ribosomal RNA", at positions 521 to 776 of the family's 1533-position model. The record is from RNAcentral.